Phodopus roborovskii (desert hamster) is the source of this 107-nucleotide small nuclear RNA. Lineage: Eukaryota; Metazoa; Chordata; Mammalia; Rodentia; Cricetidae. The record is from RefSeq and is a predicted model, not a curated record.
GUGCUUGCUUUGGCAGUCCAUGUACUAAAAUUGGACCGAUGCAGCGAAGAUUAGCAUGGGCCCUGAGCAAGGGUAACAUGCAGAUCCUUUCCAGGUUCCUUAUUUUU